This 254-nucleotide ribosomal RNA is filed under the name uncultured bacterium. RNAcentral describes it as "partial 16S ribosomal RNA". It matches the Rfam family "Bacterial small subunit ribosomal RNA", at positions 524 to 776 of the family's 1533-position model. The record is from RNAcentral.
GACGUAGGGCGCGAGCGUUGUCCGGAUUUAUUGGGCGUAAAGAGCUCGUAGGCGGCUUGUUGCGUCAGCUGUGAAAACCCGCAGCUCAACUGUGGGCUUGCAGCUGAUACGGGCAGGCUUGAGUUCGGUAGGGGAGACUGGAAUUCCUGGUGUAGCGGUGAAAUGCGCAGAUAUCAGGAGGAACACCGGUGGCGAAGGCGGGUCUCUGGGCCGAUAUUGACGCUGGAGGAGCGAAAGCGUGGGGAGCGAACAGG